Non-coding RNA from Acanthosepion pharaonis, 113 nucleotides. NCBI's taxonomy places the organism in Eukaryota, Metazoa, Mollusca, Cephalopoda, Sepiida, Sepiidae. The record is from the annotation of a GenBank genome assembly.
UACGGUCACAUCCCAGUAAAACACCGAUUCCCAUUCGAUAACCGAAGUUAAGCAAGAUCGAGCCUGGUCAAUAACUAGAUGGGUGACCGCUUGGGAAUACCAACUGCUGUAAU